UUCGCAAUGCCCGAAAGGGUGACGAAGCGACGCCGCGUGCGGGAAGAAGGCCUUCGGGUUGUAAACCGCUGUCGGGAGUUAAGAAAUGCAAGGAUGUUAAUAGCGUCUUUGCUUGACUAAGGCUCCGGAGGAAGCCACGGCUAACUCUGUGCCAGCAGCCGCGGUAAUACAGAGGCGGCAAGCGUUGUUCGGAAUUAUUGGGCGUAAAGAGCACGUAGGCGGCUGUGUAAGUCGGUUGUGAAAGCCUUCCGCUCAACGGAAGAACGGCAUCCGAUACUGCAUGGCUUGAGUGCGGGAAGGGAGAGUGGAACUUCUGGUGGAGCGGUGAAAUGCGUAGAUAUCAGAAGGAACACCGGCGGCGAAGGCGACUCUCUGGCCCGUAACUGACGCUGAGUGUGCGAAAGCUAGGGGAGCAAACGGGAUUAGAUACCCCGGUAGUCCUAGCCGUAAACGAUGGGCACUAAGUAGAGGGGUUUU
RNAcentral lists this ribosomal RNA (477 nucleotides) under uncultured anaerobic ammonium-oxidizing bacterium. RNAcentral's name for it is "bacterial SSU rRNA". It matches the Rfam family "Bacterial small subunit ribosomal RNA", at positions 365 to 832 of the family's 1533-position model. The record is from RNAcentral.